GACGAACGCUGGCGGCGUGCUUAACACAUGCAAGUCGAACGGAAAGGCCCUGCUUUUGUGGGGUGCCCGAGUGGCGAACGGGUGAGUAACACGUGAGUAACCUGCCCUUGACUUUGGGAUAACUUCAGGAAACUGGGGCUAAUACCGGAUAGGAGCUCCUGCUGCAUGGUGUGGGUUGGAAAGUUUCGGCGGUUGGGGAUGGACUCGCGGCUUAUCAGCUUGUUGGUGGGGUAGUGGCUUACCAAGGCUUUGACGGGUAGCCGGCCUGAGAGGGUGACCGGCCACAUGGGGACUGAGAUACGGCCCAGACUCCUACGGGAGGCAGCAGUGGGGAAUAUUGCACAAUGGGCGGAAGCCUGAUGCAGAAACGCCGCGUGCGGGAUGACGGCCUUCGGGUUGUAAACCGCUUUCGCCUGUGACGAAGCGUGAGUGACGGUAAUGGGUAAAGAAGCACCGGCUAACUACGUG
Molecule: ribosomal RNA, 468 nt
Filed under: uncultured bacterium
Lineage: Bacteria
Description: partial 16S ribosomal RNA
Rfam family: Bacterial small subunit ribosomal RNA
Source: RNAcentral